This 498-nucleotide ribosomal RNA is filed under the name uncultured Glomus. Its description in RNAcentral is "SSU rRNA". It matches the Rfam family "Eukaryotic small subunit ribosomal RNA", at positions 591 to 1092 of the family's 1831-position model. The record is from RNAcentral. Lineage: Eukaryota; Fungi; Glomeromycota; Glomeromycetes; Glomerales; Glomeraceae.
CCAAUAGCGUAUAUUAAAGUUGCUGCAGUUAAAAAGCUCGUAGUUGAAUUUCGGGAUCAAUAUGUUGGUCGUGCCUUGGUACGUACUAGCUUAUUGGUUUCUCCCUUCUGACGAACCAUGAUGUCAUUAAUUUGGUGUCAUGGGGAAUCAGGACUGUUACUUUGAAAAAAUUAGAGUGUUUAAAGCAGGCUCGCGCUUGAAUACAUUAGCAUGGAAUAAUGAAAUAGGACAUUUGAUUCUAUUUUGUUGGUUUCUAGGAUCGAUGUAAUGAUUAAUAGGGAUAGUUGGGGGCAUUAGUAUUCAAUUGUCAGAGGUGAAAUUCUUGGAUUUAUUGAAGACUAACUACUGCGAAAGCAUUUGCCAAGGAUGUUUUCAUUAAUCAAGAACGAAAGUUAGGGGAUCGAAGACGAUCAGAUACCGUCGUAGUCUUAACCAUAAACUAUGCCGACUAGGGAUCGGAUGAUGUUAAUUUUUUAAUGACUCAUUCGGCGCCUUACG